CUGGCUCAGGACGAACGCUGGCGGCGUGCCUAAUACAUGCAAGUCGAACGCUUCUUUUUCCACCGGAGCUUGCUCCACCGGAAAAAGAGGAGUGGCGAACGGGUGAGUAACACGUGGGUAACCUGCCCAUCAGAAGGGGAUAACACUUGGAAACAGGUGCUAAUACCGUAUAACAAUCGAAACCGCAUGGUUUUGAUUUGAAAGGCGCUUUCGGGUGUCGCUGAUGGAUGGACCCGCGGUGCAUUAGCUAGUUGGUGAGGUAACGGCUCACCAAGGCCACGAUGCAUAGCCGACCUGAGAGGGUGAUCGGCCACAUUGGGACUGAGACACGGCCCAAACUCCUACGGGAGGCAGCAGUAGGGAAUCUUCGGCAAUGGACGAAAGUCUGACCGAGCAACGCCGCGUGAGUGAAGAAGGUUUUCGGAUCGUAAAACUCUGUUGUUAGAGAAGAACAAGGAUGAGAGUAACUGUUCAUCCCUUGACGGUAUCUAACCAGAAAGCCACGGCUAAC
RNAcentral lists this ribosomal RNA (511 nucleotides) under Enterococcus faecium. RNAcentral describes it as "bacterial SSU rRNA". It matches the Rfam family "Bacterial small subunit ribosomal RNA", at positions 19 to 501 of the family's 1533-position model. The record is from RNAcentral. Lineage: Bacteria; Bacillati; Bacillota; Bacilli; Lactobacillales; Enterococcaceae.